This 2537-nucleotide long non-coding RNA is filed under the name Pomacea canaliculata. RNAcentral describes it as "uncharacterized LOC112556191". Lineage: Eukaryota; Metazoa; Mollusca; Gastropoda; Architaenioglossa; Ampullariidae. The record is from RNAcentral.
GCUGGCCAAACUCCAGCCCUACCUUCCUGCUUUUAGCGGACCUCCAUCUUAGUGCUGUCGGCAUUUGCGAUCAUUUGCUACAAAAAUCUCUGAUCGCCGGCGAAACAGGCCUGCUUCUGCUGUAUAACUACCUUUUUUCUGUUCUGCCUACUUAAAUAACUUUUAAUCUUGUUUAAUCAUGUCCUGGGAUGGAUAUGUUGGAAACAUGGAAGGUGAGGGAUGCAGCUAUGUGGGCUUCUUUGACUUGCAAGGCAACAAAUGGGCAGAAUCCCGCAAUCCCAUACUGGCUAUAACUCCUGAACAAAUCAGGCAUAUUGUCAAUGCCAUCGCAUCUUCAAACACCGUCGACCUCCGUGCAAGCGGGGCCAAGCUGGGCACUCGCAAGUUUAUUUGUGUCUUUCAAGAUGAAAAUGUUGUUGUUCUGAAGCAGCUUGGUGGUGAUGCAGAUGAUAAGCUGAUGGUCAGUGUUGGCCGUUUCUUCAAAGGCUGUGUUGUUGGUGCUGCACCAGGAGGAGAAAGAGAAAAAUGCAGUAGAAUCAGUGUAGAAAAAUACACUGAAUACCUGAAAUCCAUCAAUUAUUAAGUUUUACUUUUUCCUCUGCGCAAGCUCACCAGUGCAUUUGCUGGGUGUGAUUGUAGUUUUAUGUCAGUAUGAGUGCAUUCUGUGCUUUUGAAGUCUGUCGUUAUAUAGUCUGAAAUAAACCUCUUACUUCCUUAGAGCAAAUUUUUGUUGACAAAAUGUUCCCACCAGAAUAUUGCAAAACGGGUGCCAAGGAUCAUUAAAGUUUUCAGUUGUUUCCAUUGAAGAUCUAAUUGCACUGGAUUCUUAAUAAGUGUUGAUGCGAAUAUGAAGUUUGAAAAACUAGUGUUCAGUGUAUGAUUACAGAAUAUUAAUAGGGAUGUUGAUGGGUUGCCAAGAAGUAGUUUUAUUGAUUCCUCAUUUACAUCGCUCCCUGGAAAUCAAAGAUCUGUUUGCUCAAGAAAGUUAAGCAAAGGAAUCUUGCAAAAACAAUUCAUAAUAAAUUAGGAUGUGAUUAUGUUUUGGCAAUAAUAAAAAUUUGUCAGCAUUGUCCUAAAUUUCCUUUAUCAAUUUUAAUUGUGCGAGUAGGCUAUAGGGAAAGUAGUUUCACCUUUCAUAACUUGGGUUAGUAAACUAAAUUUGUUGCUAUAUGACCAAAAUAUUGUGUGUUACUUAACACAACUAUUUUUGUUGAAAGCUUUGGUAGAUUACAAAAGUUAGCAACAGCAUUAGAAGCCUGUCUUUUGUCUUUCUUUGCAUCAUAUGCAAAAUCUGCUCUUACAGCUAUUUGCUGUUUUGUUAAGCAGUUUAUUGUCUCAUACUCUAACCUUUUCCAUUGGGUGUAUGAAGCUGUUGGCUGUGAGUGGUACUUUCCUCUGUGAAGUAUAUUGCAAUUUUGGCUGUGUUACGGCCCUUAAAGGGCUUUUCUCUUUUCUUCCUCUGUCUCAGAUGUGAGAAUGAGUAUGUGAGUGUGGUGUCCUAUGGCAUUUCUUCAACUUUAGAUUUUCAACUUCCUUUAUUUAAAGGACUCACCAUGAUAGAACCUUAGUUGCUAGCAUGAUGUAAAGCACAACCAACCAUUCCAAGAAAUUUAGUUUUUUGUUUGAUAUGAACAGAUUAGUGUUAAACGGUGAUUGGGACAAAUCACAUUCCUAUAGGGACAGUUGUUUUUGUUUUGUUUUUUGUUUUUGUUUUUUCACUUUAUUGGGAACACAAUGUGGAUUGUUGUAGAUUACAGGUAAACAAAAACGUGGGGCUUUGCUUUACUGUUGAAAGUUGUGGCUGGACAAGACCAUAAGUUACAUCAUCAAUAUGAAGAAAUUUACAGAUGGAUUAAGUAAUGCAAUACUACAAUGCUCAACCCUGCAGUAAUGCCUUUCACUGCUUGCUUUUCAGAAUGUUAUGGCUAUAUGCUUGGGGAUAUGAAACUCAGAUUAAUUUUACGUAGUUGGGGCAAACUGUUCAUUUGAUUAUCAAAUUCUUUCUUUUAAAAUUAGUUUGUGGGUUCCUUGAGAGGCUUGACUCGGUGUAGAUUUGCUGUUGUGUUUAAAACAAAUGCUAUGGUAUUUUUCACUGUUUUGCAAACUAAAAUCACCCAUGAAAAUUGUGUGUAAACAUUUCCAGUAAGACUUUUGUUUUCCAUUAAUACAAGUGUUGAGUUUCUUGUAGAACUGCACGGGUAAUGCCCCUUAGUUAGAAAUUCUUCUCUCAGGUGUUCAGUUUUUCAUGAAAUUUACCUGCAGAACUAGUCAUUUCUCAGACUCAUCAGAGCAACAAGAAUGAUUUUCACGCAGUAUUUGCUUGUAUUUGUAAAUUCUUUUUCUCCCCUCUUGAACAGAUUUUGGGAGUGUUCUACUGUAUCUUUAAAGGGUAAUAAACAAACUGCUUUUGUCUGUCUUGUGUUUUUUCUUUUAAGCCAAACCUAAUUUUUAGCAUAUGCCUACAGAUCUGCCUGGUUCUGUUGCCUGAUCAUUUGAAAUAUUUUACAUUAUUUUCCUUAUUAAAAAUACAUGGUUAA